UUUAGAUUAUAAUAGCUUUGAAACAAUGAUAAUGAAAGUUUUUUCAUCGUUCUAAAUUUAUACUACAGUUAUGGUCGUAAAAGAUUAAGAAAAAUCUUAUGGGUGCAAUUAUUCCACUGACACCUGCGAAAAAUACCAAAAGAACUGACCAUCGCUGUUUAUUGUAUUUUUUUAAAUGUUUUAGUUAAACAAUCUAACACUUAA
Long non-coding RNA from Hydra vulgaris (swiftwater hydra), 204 nucleotides. RefSeq lists it as uncharacterized. The record is from RefSeq and is a predicted model, not a curated record. Lineage: Eukaryota; Metazoa; Cnidaria; Hydrozoa; Anthoathecata; Hydridae.